GGUAAUGAUAGUACAAGUUUUGAACAGUUUAUAAAUAAGCAAGAUAAAACAGCAAAAAAGUUUAAUAGUGUGUUGACACUGUGCAGAUGCGGAUGAUGAUGCAAUGUUUGCGUUCAUCAACACAUGAACAAGAAGAUGCAGCCAUGUCAACAGCACUCCAAUUUUUAAAGAAAAGGGUGACUUUCAAAAUUUUCAAAAGAGUCAUU
This 206-nucleotide unclassified non-coding RNA is filed under the name Hevea brasiliensis (rubber tree). Lineage: Eukaryota; Viridiplantae; Streptophyta; Magnoliopsida; Malpighiales; Euphorbiaceae. The record is from RNAcentral.